AGGUGAUGAAGCGGCAGGCUGGUUCAGCAUCAGUCGUUUGUGGAGCCAGGCUAUGGGUUGUGCGAAUACCACAAGCCGAAUAGAUUCAGCGAGUCGAAAGAAAACACAAAGU
This 112-nucleotide non-coding RNA is filed under the name unclassified sequences. RNAcentral describes it as "drum RNA". It matches the Rfam family "drum RNA". From Rfam's summary of the family: Firmicutes, Bacteroidetes (1 example), Proteobacteria (2 examples), Spirochaetes (2 examples). The record is from Rfam by way of RNAcentral.